Non-coding RNA from Chelonoidis abingdonii (Abingdon island giant tortoise), 120 nucleotides. The record is from RefSeq and is a predicted model, not a curated record. Lineage: Eukaryota; Metazoa; Chordata; Testudines; Testudinidae.
CAUUUUAUAAAUAUACACCCCAUGGAGCCGGGAUGCUGGAACAGUUUGCAUAGUGGGGAUGCUGAGAGUCAUUGAACCAAACUGUAAACCUUGUAUAUGAUGGAAACCACUUCAAGGCAG